ACGGAAAGGCCCUGCUUUUGUGGGGUGCUCGAGUGGCGAACGGGUGAGUAACACGUGAGUAACCUGCCCUUGACUUUGGGAUAACUUCAGGAAACUGGGGCUAAUACCGGAUAGGAGCUCCUGCUGCAUGGUGGGGGUUGGAAAGUUUCGGCGGUUGGGGAUGGACUCGCGGCUUAUCAGCUUGUUGGUGGGGUAGUGGCUUACCAAGGCUUUGACGGGUAGCCGGCCUGAGAGGGUGACCGGCCACAUUGGGACUGAGAUACGGCCCAGACUCCUACGGGAGGCAGCAGUGGGGAAUAUUGCACAAUGGGCGGAAGCCUGAUGCAGCAACGCCGCGUGCGGGAUGACGGCCUUCGGGUUGUAAACCGCUUUCGCCUGUGACGAAGCGUGAGUGACGGUAAUGGGUAAAGAAGCACCGGCUAACUACGUGCCAGCAGCCGCGGUGAUACGUAGGGUGCGAGCGUUGUCCGGAUUUAUUGGGCGUAAAGGGCUCGUAGGUGGUUGAUCGCGUCGGAAGUGUAAUCUUGGGGCUUAACCCUGAGCGUGCUUUCGAUACGGGUUGACUUGAGGAAGGUAGGGGAGAAUGGAAUUCCUGGUGGAGCGGUGGAAUGCGCAGAUAUCAGGAGGAACACCAGUGGCGAAGGCGGUUCUCUGGGCCUUUCCUGACGCUGAGGAGCGAAAGCGUGGGGAGCGAACAGGCUUAGAUACCCUGGUAGUCCACGCUGUAAACGGUGGGUACUAGGUGUGGGGUCCAUUCCAC
Molecule: ribosomal RNA, 760 nt
Filed under: uncultured Actinomycetes bacterium
Lineage: Bacteria; Bacillati; Actinomycetota; Actinomycetes
Description: bacterial SSU rRNA
Rfam family: Bacterial small subunit ribosomal RNA
Source: RNAcentral